GAUGAACGCUGGCGGCGUGCCUAAUACAUGCAAGUCGAGCGAACGGACGAGAAGCUUGCUUUUCUGAUGUUAGCGGCGGACGGGUGAGUAACACGUGGAUAACCUACCUAUAAGACUGGGAUAACUUCGGGAAACCGGAGCUAAUACCGGAUAAUAUUUUGAACCGCAUGGUUCAAAAGUGAAAGACGGUCUUGCUGUCACUUAUAGAUGGAUCCGCGCUGCAUUAGCUAGUGGGUAAGGUAACGGCUUACCAAGGCAACGAUGCAUAGCCGACCUGAGAGGGUGAUCAGCCACACUGGAACUGAGACACGGUCCAGACUCCUACGGGCGGCAGCAGUAGGGAAUCUUCCGCCACGGGCGAAAGCCUGACGGAGCAACGCCGCGUGAGUGAUGAAGGUCUUCGGAUCGUAAAACCCUUUUAUUAGGGAAGAACAUAUGUGUAAGUAACUGUCCACAUCUUGACGGUACCUAAUCAGAAAGCCACGGCUAACUACGUG
This 497-nucleotide ribosomal RNA is filed under the name uncultured bacterium. RNAcentral's name for it is "partial 16S ribosomal RNA". It matches the Rfam family "Bacterial small subunit ribosomal RNA", at positions 28 to 507 of the family's 1533-position model. The record is from RNAcentral.